This 297-nucleotide ribosomal RNA is filed under the name uncultured cyanobacterium. RNAcentral's name for it is "partial 16S ribosomal RNA". It matches the Rfam family "Bacterial small subunit ribosomal RNA", at positions 28 to 351 of the family's 1533-position model. The record is from RNAcentral. Lineage: Bacteria; Bacillati; Cyanobacteriota.
GAUGAACGCUGGCGGUAUGCCUAACACAUGCAAGUCGAACGGGUGUCUUCGGACACAAGUGGCGGACGGGUGAGUAACGCGUGAGAAUCUGCCUUCAGGAUGGGGGACAACAGUUGGAAACGACUGCUAAUACCCGAUAUGCAGCGAUGUGAAAGAUUAAUCGCCUGGAGAUGAGCUCGCGUCAGAUUAGCUAGAUGGUGGGGUAAAAGCCUACCAUGGCGACGAUCUGUAGCUGGUCUGAGAGGAUGAGCAGCCACACUGGGACUGAGACACGGCCCAGACUCCUACGGGUGGCAG